This 497-nucleotide ribosomal RNA is filed under the name uncultured bacterium. Its description in RNAcentral is "partial 16S ribosomal RNA". It matches the Rfam family "Bacterial small subunit ribosomal RNA", at positions 36 to 507 of the family's 1533-position model. The record is from RNAcentral.
UCUUCCCUCUGGCUUCGUGCCUAAUACAUGCAAGUCGAGCGAACAGACGAGGAGCUUGCUCCUCUGACGUUAGCGGCGGACGGGUGAGUAACACGUGGAUAACCUACCUAUAAGACUGGGAUAACUUCGGGAAACCGGAGCUAAUACCGGAUAAUAUAUUGAACCGCAUGGUUCAAUAGUGAAAGACGGUUUUGCUGUCACUUAUAGAUGGAUCCGCGCCGCAUUAGCUAGUUGGUAAGGUAACGGCUUACCAAGGCGACGAUGCGUAGCCGACCUGAGAGGGUGAUCGGCCACACUGGAACUGAGACACGGUCCAGACUCCUACGGGAGGCAGCAGUAGGGAAUCUUCCGCAAUGGGCGAAAGCCUGACGGAGCAACGCCGCGUGAGUGAUGAAGGUCUUCGGAUCGUAAAACUCUGUUAUUAGGGAAGAACAAAUGUGUAAGUAACUAUGCACGUCUUGACGGUACCUAAUCAGAAAGCCACGGCUAACUACGUG